GUUCUUUUUCGUCCUUUUCUCCGGUUGCCGCUUGCUGUGAGUGUCUCUAGGGUGGUACGGGGGUGAGAAGGGUCCCGGUCCGCGCCAGCGCCCAGCGCGCCUCGUCGCCAUGCCUCGGAAAAUUGAAGAAAUUAAGGACUUCCUGCUCACAGCUCGACGGAAGGAUGCCAAAUGUAAGUAGUUGCUUCGAAGGUUCAAGAUGAGCUGUGGUUACCUUGGCACUGCUCCGGGAGCAUCUUACCCGGAAUGUCAGGCAGGAGACGGGUUAGGCAGUCUGGGUGUGUGCCUGGCCCUCUGGGAGCAGUGGUUUUAUCCUGUUUCCCAUGAGAAAGAUCUGUGUGGGGCACGUUGAGGCCCUGGAAUUUCUAGGACUAUCUUUAGCUAAUCGCGAGUAUCUCAGGGGCUGCCCUGUGUUGUUUUCUUUUGUAUAAUACAGAAAAUUCUCGGAACGGAAUCUCCACUGCGCGAAAGCCUCAAGACACACGUCCCAUAAACACUGAGUUUAGGUUCUCUGCAGUUGUGCAAAAUCUUAAACCCAUUUUGUAAUAAAGUGCUGGAUAUCUGCAUGUAA
Molecule: small RNA, 571 nt
Filed under: Pongo abelii (Sumatran orangutan)
Lineage: Eukaryota; Metazoa; Chordata; Mammalia; Primates; Hominidae
Description: retained intron
Source: RNAcentral